This 2928-nucleotide ribosomal RNA is filed under the name Cronobacter sakazakii. RNAcentral's name for it is "bacterial LSU rRNA". It matches the Rfam family "Bacterial large subunit ribosomal RNA". Lineage: Bacteria; Pseudomonadati; Pseudomonadota; Gammaproteobacteria; Enterobacterales; Enterobacteriaceae. The record is from RNAcentral.
GGGUUGUGAGGUUAAGCGAACAAGCGUACACGGUGGAUGCCCUGGCAGUCAGAGGCGAUGAAGGACGUGCUAAUCUGCGAAAAGCGCCGGUAAGGUGAUAUGAACCGUUAUAACCGGCGAUGUCCGAAUGGGGAAACCCGGUGCACUUCGGUGCAUCAUCGUUAGCUGAAUACAUAGGCUAACGAGGCGAACCGGGGGAACUGAAACAUCUAAGUACCCCGAGGAAAAGAAAUCAACCGAGAUUCCCCCAGUAGCGGCGAGCGAACGGGGAACAGCCCAGAGCCUGAAUCAGCUUGUGUGUCAGUGGAACGGUCUGGAAAGGCCGGCGAUACAGGGUGACAGCCCCGUACACGAAGGCACACAGGCUGUGAGCUCGAUGAGUAGGGCGGGACACGUGAUAUCCUGUCUGAAGAUGGGGGGACCAUCCUCCAAGGCUAAAUACUCCUGACUGACCGAUAGUGAACCAGUACCGUGAGGGAAAGGCGAAAAGAACCCCGGCGAGGGGAGUGAAACAGAACCUGAAACCGUGUACGUACAAGCAGUGGGAGCCUUCGUAAGAGGGUGACUGCGUACCUUUUGUAUAAUGGGUCAGCGACUUAUAUUCUGUAGCAAGGUUAACCGUAUAGGGGAGCCGAAGGGAAACCGAGUCUUAACCGGGCGUUAAGUUGCAGGGUAUAGACCCGAAACCCGGUGAUCUAGCCAUGGGCAGGUUGAAGGUUGGGUAACACUAACUGGAGGACCGAACCGACUAAUGUUGAAAAAUUAGCGGAUGACCUGUGGCUGGGGGUGAAAGGCCAAUCAAACCGGGAGAUAGCUGGUUCUCCCCGAAAGCUAUUUAGGUAGCGCCUCGUGAACUCAUCUCCGGGGGUAGAGCACUGUUUCGGCUAGGGGGCCAUCCCGGCUUACCAACCCGAUGCAAACUGCGAAUACCGGAGAAUGUUAUCACGGGAGACACACGGCGGGUGCUAACGUCCGUCGUGAAGAGGGAAACAACCCAGACCGCCAGCUAAGGUCCCAAAGUCAUGGUUAAGUGGGAAACGAUGUGGGAAGGCCCAGACAGCCAGGAUGUUGGCUUAGAAGCAGCCAUCAUUUAAAGAAAGCGUAAUAGCUCACUGGUCGAGUCGGCCUGCGCGGAAGAUGUAACGGGGCUAAACCAUGCACCGAAGCUGCGGCAGCGACGCUUAUGCGUUGUUGGGUAGGGGAGCGUUCUGUAAGCCUGUGAAGGUGUGCUGUGAGGCAUGCUGGAGGUAUCAGAAGUGCGAAUGCUGACAUAAGUAACGAUAAAGCGGGUGAAAAGCCCGCUCGCCGGAAGACCAAGGGUUCCUGUCCAACGUUAAUCGGGGCAGGGUGAGUCGACCCCUAAGGCGAGGCCGAAAGGCGUAGUCGAUGGGAAACAGGUUAAUAUUCCUGUACUUGGUGUUACUGCGAAGGGGGGACGGAGAAGGCUAUGUCGGCCGGGCGACGGUUGUCCCGGUUUAAGCGUGUAGGCUGACUUUCCAGGCAAAUCCGGAAAGUUAAGGCUGAGGCGUGAUGACGAGGCACCACGGUGCUGAAGUGACAAAUGCCCUGCUUCCAGGAAAAGCCUCUAAGCAUCAGGUAACAUCAAAUCGUACCCCAAACCGACACAGGUGGUCAGGUAGAGAAUACCAAGGCGCUUGAGAGAACUCGGGUGAAGGAACUAGGCAAAAUGGUGCCGUAACUUCGGGAGAAGGCACGCUGACAUGUAGGUGAAGCCCCUGCGGGUGGAGCUGAAGUCAGUCGAAGAUACCAGCUGGCUGCAACUGUUUAUUAAAAACACAGCACUGUGCAAACACGAAAGUGGACGUAUACGGUGUGACGCCUGCCCGGUGCCGGAAGGUUAAUUGAUGGGGUUAUCGCAAGAGAAGCUCCUGAUCGAAGCCCCGGUAAACGGCGGCCGUAACUAUAACGGUCCUAAGGUAGCGAAAUUCCUUGUCGGGUAAGUUCCGACCUGCACGAAUGGCGUAAUGAUGGCCAGGCUGUCUCCACCCGAGACUCAGUGAAAUUGAACUCGCUGUGAAGAUGCAGUGUACCCGCGGCAAGACGGAAAGACCCCGUGAACCUUUACUACAGCUUGACACUGAACAUUGAGCCUUGAUGUGUAGGAUAGGUGGGAGGCUUUGAAGCGUGGACGCCAGUCUGCGUGGAGCCAACCUUGAAAUACCACCCUUUAAUGUUUGAUGUUCUAACCUGGCGCCGUAAUCCGGCGUGGGGACAGUGUCUGGUGGGUAGUUUGACUGGGGCGGUCUCCUCCCAAAGUGUAACGGAGGAGCACGAAGGUCAGCUAAUCCUGGUCGGACAUCAGGAGGUUAGUGCAAUGGCAUAAGCUGGCUUGACUGCGAGAGUGACGGCUCGAGCAGGUGCGAAAGCAGGUCAUAGUGAUCCGGUGGUUCUGUAUGGAAGGGCCAUCGCUCAACGGAUAAAAGGUACUCCGGGGAUAACAGGCUGAUACCGCCCAAGAGUUCAUAUCGACGGCGGUGUUUGGCACCUCGAUGUCGGCUCAUCACAUCCUGGGGCUGAAGUAGGUCCCAAGGGUAUGGCUGUUCGCCAUUUAAAGUGGUACGCGAGCUGGGUUUAGAACGUCGUGAGACAGUUCGGUCCCUAUCUGCCGUGGGCGCUGGAGAAUUGAGGGGGGCUGCUCCCAGUACGAGAGGACCGGAGUGGACGCAUCACUGGUGUUCGGGUUGUCAUGCCAAUGGCACUGCCCGGUAGCUAAAUGCGGAAGAGAUAAGUGCUGAAAGCAUCUAAGCACGAAACUUGCCCCGAGAUGAGUUCUCCCUGACUCCUUGAGAGUCCUGAAGGAACGUUGAAGACGACGACGUUGAUAGGCCGGGUGUGUAAGCGCAGCGAUGCGUUGAGCUAACCGGUACUAAUGAACCGUGAGGCUUAACCUUACAACGCCAAAGAAGU